Molecule: ribosomal RNA, 253 nt
Filed under: uncultured bacterium
Lineage: Bacteria
Description: partial 16S ribosomal RNA
Rfam family: Bacterial small subunit ribosomal RNA
Source: RNAcentral
UACGUAGGGUGCAAGCGUUAAUCGGAAUUACUGGGCGUAAAGCGUGCGCAGGCGGUUAUGCAAGACAGAUGUGAAAUCCCCGGGCUCAACCUGGGAACUGCAUUUGUGACUGCAUAGCUAGAGUACGGUAGAGGGGGAUGGAAUUCCGCGUGUAGCAGUGUAAUGCGUAGAUAUGCGGAGGAACACCGAUGGCGAAGGCAAUCCCCUGGACCUGUACUGACGCUCAUGCACGAAAGCGUGGGGAGCAAACAGG